This is a non-coding RNA of Spinacia oleracea (spinach), 66 nucleotides long. NCBI's taxonomy places the organism in Eukaryota, Viridiplantae, Streptophyta, Magnoliopsida, Caryophyllales, Amaranthaceae. The record is from Rfam.
CCAUAGCCCUGAUCGAAGCGGCAUCCCCGAUAUUUCAACGGGAUAAAGCGAAGAGCAGGACUAACA